ACACCUCAACUCUCAUGGUUUGCCGUGAUGAGCUUGGACGUUGGGGGUCUUGCUGGCCUGCGGUCGGCUCCUCUCAAACGAAUCAGCUUCCCAGUGUUUGGCGGCGUCACAGGUGUGAUAACUAUCUACGCUUGUGGUGUUCUGCUGGUAACCUUCAGCGAUGGAGGUUCGCUGGAGCUCACAAAUGUCUCUCCUCGGUGAGGACGGCCUUUGAAC
RNAcentral lists this unclassified non-coding RNA (216 nucleotides) under uncultured Tomentella. Its description in RNAcentral is "sequence contains ITS2". RNAcentral also lists the same sequence under 1 other name. Lineage: Eukaryota; Fungi; Basidiomycota; Agaricomycetes; Thelephorales; Thelephoraceae. The record is from RNAcentral.